Molecule: long non-coding RNA, 2834 nt
Organism: Passer domesticus (house sparrow)
Lineage: Eukaryota; Metazoa; Chordata; Aves; Passeriformes; Passeridae
Exons: 7
Source: RefSeq, a predicted model, not a curated record
GCUCCCCGAGCCUUCCCAGCUUGCCAGGCCCGCUCUCUGUGUUCGUCUCGUAGCGAUGCCGAGGCGGGGACGGGUCACCUGAGGGGCCGCUCGCCUCCCCCCCUCACGCCCUCGCCUCCCGCGGGGGUCUCUCUGCUCUCUCUCCUCGCACUGGCGAAAUCAGGCAGCUCUCAAAAGCUUCUGUUUGCCGUGAAUGUUGUGUUAUUCCAUAGCUCGGCAUCCCGGAGGAACUUCUGCUCCUCCCAGGAGGCCUUGCCCAGGUCUGCCUUGCGGUUGUGUGGUGGGUUCUGAAAAAGGAAAAGAUGAGUGUGAUCUCCUGGCUCCUCUCUGGCAGCCCAAUAUUUGCAAAGGAUAUUGAGCUUGGGGAAACAACAGGGCUGUCAUACCUAGUAGGAUGAAGAGGCUAUGGAAACAAACAUGGACUGAUCCAGUGGCAUGCAGCUGUGAGGGAAGGACAUCCUGGUGGCUCUGCACAGCUUUACCUGGAUGCAUGUGAAAAGUCUUCAUUUGAAAGUUUGCUAAGCAACAAAUCCUUCAAAUAGAACAGGUUGCAACUCUGCUCUGCCCGAAAAGUACGCAUGCAUCUGCUGAUAUUGACUGAUACAGGACUGGCUUUUUGCAUGCAGAACACCAUUUAUUUCAAACUGGACCUAGACAAGUUCAGGGCCUGUCUCUGACUCGAUGCAUGCCAGAUUGUCCUUUAGGAUAUAACCCAGUGAGCAGGAGGAAUGGGUUUGAACUUGGCAAAAUGGCAAUAAGCAUAAAGGAAGAAGCUGGAGAGCUGCUUCAUCAGUGCCAAUCCAUACUGUGGUUGGUCUCAUGAAAAGGAUCUUAUUGAUGAAUUACUACAGCUACCCUCCCAGCCAUGGAAGAAUAUCUCAUACAAAAAAAAUCUAUAGGGCUCCAGACUAAUCCUGUGGGGAGAGGAAAGUGCCUGUGGAGCUUGGCAAAAGUUGCUUGUCCUUUCCUCCUGAAGAUAUGGAUUUGUUCCUGGGUAGUGUGGGAGGUGGCUCCUCCUUCCUGCAUUUGUAGCCACCAUGGAAACAGAUAAUUCCAGAAGACGGUCUAAUAAUGCAAUUGCAGACCCAAAUUACAGAGGUCUAAGACUCUCUCUCCUGACACUAAAUUGUACAUGCAUCUCCUGACAGCUAAAUUGUACACACAUGUGCAAGCAGUGUCACAAGCCUGCUCAGAAAUGCCCCAAACCAAGUUAGACAGAGACUCCAAGGGCUGAACAGCAUGAGAACGUGCCAAGGGCCAAGAAAGACAAAAAAGCACAAAGAGAUUCAAAGUUUAGCUCAUAGAAAGUGUGAAAUUAUAUUGUCAAUGUCAGGCCGUGAAACAAAGGAGGCAUUCUGUUGUUGAAUUUCAUGUUGCAGGCCCCUGUAAACAUGCAGUACAGAAAGUAUUGAAGAUGCUGUGCAAGGCAGGUGUGUAAAAAGGAUGAGCAAACAGAGGAGGAUCGUGAGCAAGGAAAAAUUGAGAAGAAAGUUUUUGAAAGACGAAGAGGUCAGAAUAGAGCCUGGUGGCACAAAAGCUGAUAGGGAAGAAAAGGGGCAUGACAGCAGAAUGAAGGCUGACAGAAAGCACAGCCAUUAAUUUAAUUUGCUGCUUUUCAUUGGAAAUGUAUCCUUUUGCCAGUUCUGGGUGCCAUGCACACGUGUAAGAACAUACAAGCUUUUCAGCUUGCCAGGGUGAAACUGCCUUCCGGAACUCUGGUGUCAAAGGCACCUACAAGACCAAAUGAAACAACCUUCAGUAUGAAAUCAAUGUCAGUGUUCAAUAACAUCCGGUGCCAGCCCAGCUGGGUGAGUAUGUGCCAGAGCAUUUGGAUGGUAAUUGGCUGAUGAAUCGAACUCUUAAGCAAACAGAUACCUAGGCAAAGAGCAGAGCAGCCAAAUUCCAGGGAGCACUGCCCUGCUAUCUCCACUGUGUUGCAAAAUCCGUCAGGUGAGUCAGAGGGAGAAGACAGCCCCGGGCAGUACCUGCAGGGAGUACUCUGACCCCUACUUUUGCAAACCUUGUGUUUCUGGGCCCUUUUCAAGUGUGCUUCCAGGCAGGACUCUGCCCUGAUGUCUGUGAGGAGGUGAACCAAGGUCUGCAGCAGGAACAAAGGGUUCAUUUGCUGAAAGGAGAUGAGUGCUGCGAGCAGGACAUCAGGAGAGAGCACCCUCAAAGCCCAACCUCCUGUUGCAGAGUUGUGGUCCAGAGUCUGAGCUGUCAUUAUAAAAACAAACAGGCCAGAUCCUCAGCUGGCACAGAGCCACAGAAACUCAGCAUAGUAGCUCGAGUUGCAUGUUCUUUAUUGCUUGGGGCACUAAAGAUUAUGACUGAAAAGAUGCCCAGGAUGUCACAGAUGAAGUAAAGUGUACCGAAUUUACCAGCAGCCUUAAGUAAAAGCCUAAGUUGCUUAAUUUAUCCUUGGAAUCAUUUUAGCAGUGAUCUUUUUUUACCUUUCUUGUGGGUGCUGUCAUAAAUGGCCUGUGGGAAGAGUGGAAUUGUCAUAUCUGGACAUUUUCAAGAAUAUCACUAUUGAGAUUCAAAUAGAUGCAGCUGAAGCAGAGGAACUUGAGUAGAUCAUCUCCUGGAGUCUCUUCCAGCCUUCUUUUUUGCAUGAUUUUAGCAAAUCUGUUCAGUUGCUGCCCUAAGCUGGCAAUACCACCCUGCUUCCAGAGGCUUGUGUCCCAGAAACUCCAGCUCCCAAACCCCUCUACUUCCUCCAUGGCUACUCAUAUAAUAUAAAAUGUGGUUUUGUCAGUUUUGCAAAAUAUUGUGUAAUCAAGAUCUGAACUGUGGCAACAGUGUGAAGUAAAACAGAAAGAUAUCAAAGUUAA